AAGGUAGAUGUAAAUUUGCAUCUUUUUUUCCCAGGGAGAGCAAUGUUUCUUCACUGUGAAAUGAAUAUCAAAGUUGGAGAAAUCAGUCAUUUGUGAACUAAUACAUUUGUAAAAUGGCUUUUCAUAGCUAGACAGCUGCAGAGGCAGAGAAAAAUGCAGAGGCUGAAGUGGGAGGAGUGUGUUCAGGAGAUGCCUGAUCUUCGAGAAAGGUCCCCGGCGGUGACCUGCACACGGUGCUCUCCCUUACCUCACACACACCUCGAAUACUUGGCCAUGCUGCUCAGGGGAUCGUGUCGUUCGUGUGGCACACUGUUUGUGAAGGAGGAGGCCUCCUUGAGCUGAGAUGAACCACCUUUCCUGAUUCCUGCGUAAUACCCCCAACUCUGCUCAUUUGGUCUCUGGGUAAAUCCUCCUAAUGGUGGGGCACAUGGAGUGGCAGACAUCCAGUGAUCCAUGUGACCCUCUGUGCCUGACUUCGCCAGCCAUGGGCAUUUGACAAAUAUAAACAAAGGGUGCCUGCCCCUCCUGCCAGUGGAACGAUAUAGAAGCCGUGAAGAGUUCUGGGUGGAAUUGUGGCUGUAAUUUAUUCCACACCAUGGGAAAUAGACGUCUUUCCCGAAGUGGUAAAGAAACCUUUUUAAACAAUGAAGUGUCAUGGUGUGCACAUGGAUGGUGAUGUCAUC
Canis lupus familiaris (dog) is the source of this 683-nucleotide long non-coding RNA. RefSeq lists it as uncharacterized. The record is from RefSeq and is a predicted model, not a curated record. The transcript has 5 exons. Lineage: Eukaryota; Metazoa; Chordata; Mammalia; Carnivora; Canidae.